CCUACGGGAGGCUGCAGUGAGGAAUAUUGGUCAAUGGGCGCAAGCCUGAACCAGCCAAGUCGCGUGAGGGAAGACGGCCCUACGGGUUGUAAACCUCUUUUGCCGGGGAGCAAGCCUGAGCACGUGUGCCCAGGCGGAGAGUACCCGGAGAAAAAGCAUCGGCUAACUCCGUGCCAGCAGCCGCGGUAAUACGGAGGAUGCGAGCGUUAUCCGGAUUUAUUGGGCGUAAAGGGUGCGUAGAUGGCAUAGUAAGUCUUUUGUAAAAAUGCUGGGCUCAACCCAGUAGGGCAAAAGAUACUGCAAAGCUAGAGUAUGACAGAGGCAAGUGGAACUACAUGUGUAGCGGUAAAAUGCGUAAAUAUAUGUAAGAACACCAGUGGCGAAGGCGGCUUGCUGGGUCGAUACUGACAUUGAGGCACGAAAGCGUGGGGAGCAAACAGGAUUAGAUACCCUUGUAGUC
RNAcentral lists this ribosomal RNA (460 nucleotides) under uncultured bacterium. RNAcentral's name for it is "partial 16S ribosomal RNA". It matches the Rfam family "Bacterial small subunit ribosomal RNA", at positions 338 to 795 of the family's 1533-position model. The record is from RNAcentral.